AUUGAACGCUGGCGGCAGGCCUAACACAUGCAAGUCGAACGCGUGGCGGACGGGUGAGUAAGUUAUGGGAAACUGCCUGAUGGAGGGGGAUAACUACGGGAAAAGGUAGCCAAAACCGCAUACCAGCAGAUGUGCCCAGAUGGGAUUAGCUUGGUGGUGGGGUAACGGCUCACCAAGGCGACGAUCCCUAGCUGGUCUGAGCGGACGACCGGCCACACUGGAACGGAGACACGGUCCAGAGUCCCACGGGAGGCAGCAGUGGGGAAUAUUGCACAAUGGGCGCAAGCCUGAUGCAGCCAUGCCGCGUGUAUGAAGAAGGCCUUCGGGUUGUAAAGUACUUUCAGCGGGGAAGCGUUACCUGCAGAAGAAGCACCGGCUAACUCCGUGCCAGCAGCCGCGGUAAUAC
This 406-nucleotide ribosomal RNA is filed under the name uncultured bacterium. Its description in RNAcentral is "partial 16S ribosomal RNA". It matches the Rfam family "Bacterial small subunit ribosomal RNA", at positions 29 to 526 of the family's 1533-position model. The record is from RNAcentral.